RNAcentral lists this ribosomal RNA (729 nucleotides) under Cutibacterium avidum. RNAcentral's name for it is "bacterial SSU rRNA". It matches the Rfam family "Bacterial small subunit ribosomal RNA", at positions 730 to 1450 of the family's 1533-position model. The record is from RNAcentral. Lineage: Bacteria; Bacillati; Actinomycetota; Actinomycetes; Propionibacteriales; Propionibacteriaceae.
UGGACCUUUCCUGACGCUGAGGAGCGAAAGCGUGGGGAGCGAACAUGCUUAGAUACCCUGGUAGUACACGCUGUAAACGGUGGGUACUAGGUGUGGGGGUCCAUUCCACGGAUUCCGUGCCGUAGCUAACGCAUUAAGUACCUCGCCUGGGGAGUACGGCCGCAAGGCUAAAACUCAAAGGAAUUGACGGGGCCCCGCACAAGCGGCGGAGCAUGCGGAUUAAUUCGAUGCAACGCGAAGAACCUUACCUGGGUUUGACAUGGACUGGGAGUGCUCAGAGAUGGGUACGCCUCCUUGUUGGGCUGGUUUCACAGGUGGUGCAUGGCUGUCGUCAGCUCGUGUCGUGAGAUGUUGGGUUAAGUUCCGCAACGAGCGCAACCCUCGUUCACUGUUGCCAGCACGUUAUGGUGGGGACUCAGUGGAGACCACCGGGGUCAACUCGGAGGAAGGUGGGGAUGACGUCAAGUCAUCAUGCCCCUUAUGUCCAGGGCUUCACGCAUGCUACAAUGGCCGGUACAAAGAGUUGCGAGCCUGUGAGGGUGAGCGAAUCUCGGAAAGCCGGUCUCAGUUCGGAUUGGGGUAGGCAACUCGACCCUAUGAAGUCGGAGUCGCUAGUAAUCGCAAAUCCCCACGGCUGCGGUGAAUUCGUUCCCGGGGCAGGUACACACCGCCCGUCAACUCAAGAAAGUCGGUAACACCCGAAACCGGUGGCCUAACCUGUGUGGCCGA